GCAACACAGGGAGGGAUUGAUAGUACGACAGGUGAUUGACAAUUUUCUGUGCCCUACACAUUUUUUAAUCCAGAGUUACCGUUUUGCUAAGAGGAAUAUGUUAGUUUAUAUGGUGACUUUGCUCUUUUUGCUCUUGAAACAACAUGUUGUAAUAUAAAUAUUGUGAACUCAUAUGAAUAUUACUUUUACUCUUUUUAAGCAUAAUCAAAAAUGAUGAGAAUGGAUUGAGUACUAGACGGUUUGCUGUUGUUUCAUGAAAAGGUCACAGUUUAGCCACAUUGCUGAAUUUGAUCCUUUUGGAUGGGCUGCCAUGGCCGUGAAAAGGCCAGCCAAGUUGCGAGUUAUUCGUGCAGUGAUAAAGGACAAAAUGGACAAGACUUUUUCACUACGAAGACAGGACGUUGUGGGAAAGGAAUCAGGAGUGGAAGAGUUGAAAGAUAGAUGGCCUUAAUUUCAG
Sebastes umbrosus (honeycomb rockfish) is the source of this 457-nucleotide long non-coding RNA. RefSeq lists it as uncharacterized. The transcript is spliced from 3 exons. The record is from RefSeq and is a predicted model, not a curated record. NCBI's taxonomy places the organism in Eukaryota, Metazoa, Chordata, Actinopteri, Perciformes, Sebastidae.